RNAcentral lists this ribosomal RNA (296 nucleotides) under uncultured bacterium. RNAcentral describes it as "partial 16S ribosomal RNA". It matches the Rfam family "Bacterial small subunit ribosomal RNA", at positions 775 to 1067 of the family's 1533-position model. The record is from RNAcentral.
GGAUUAGAUACCCUGGUAGUCCACGCCGUAAACGAUGUCAACUAGGUGUUGGGACGGUUAAUCGUCUCAUUGCCGCAGCUAACGCAUUAAGUUGACCGCCUGGGGAGUACGGUCGCAAGAUUAAAACUCAAAGAAAUUGACGGGGGCCCGCACAAGCGGUGGAGUAUGUGGUUUAAUUCGACGCAACGCGCAGAACCUUACCUGGUCUUGACAUCCCGGGAACUUCCUAGAAAUAGGAAGGUGCUCUUCGGAGAACCCGGUGACAGGUGCUGCAUGGCUGUCGUCAGCUCGUGCCG